AGAGAUGUGUGAUGACGCAUAUCAAUAAGCGGAGGAAAAGAAACUAACAAGGAUUCCCUUAGUAACGGCGAGUGAAGCGGGAAGAGCUCAAAUUUGAAAUCUUCAAGGUUCUACCUUGACGAAUUGUAGUUUAUAGAAGUGUUUUCUGUUAGUGGAGUGGCAAAAGUUCUUUGGAAUAGGACAUCAUAGAGGGUGAGAAUCCCGUAUUUGGUCAUUCCUUCUAGCUUUGUGAUACACUUUCAAAGAGUCGGAUUGUUUGGGAAUGCAGUCCAAAAUGGGUGGUAAAUUUCAUCUAAAGCUAAAUAUUGGCGAGAGACCGAUAGCGAACAAGUACCGUGAGGGAAAGAUGAAAAGAACCUUGAAAAGAGAGUUAAACAGUACGUGAAAUUGUCAAAAGGGAAGCGUUUGACACCAGUGUUGUUUUUCCGAAAAUCAAUUACGAAUGUUUUGUUUUUGAGGAGUUAUGACUUCAUCGGCUUGCUCCUUUCUUUACGAAACUUUCUUAAUGCACUUUUCGGUUAACAAGUCAACAUCAAUUUCUUUAGUUGUAAAAGGGUAUGAGGAAGGUGGCUUUCUUUUCGGAGAAAGUGUUUAUAGCCUUGUACCUCUGCAAUCGGAGAGAUUGAGGUCUGCAGCGUAGAUCCUUCGGGGUUAGAUACAUUUGUGCUAAGUUAUAGCUUUUCAUAGACAACUUGUUGACUAUGUUAAGUCUUGUAGCUUACUCGCUUAUGCUAUUUUACCUACGCUUAGGAUGUUGACAGCAGUAUAGACUGU
RNAcentral lists this ribosomal RNA (774 nucleotides) under uncultured Neocallimastigales. RNAcentral describes it as "partial large subunit ribosomal RNA". It matches the Rfam family "Eukaryotic large subunit ribosomal RNA", at positions 23 to 640 of the family's 3401-position model. The record is from RNAcentral. Lineage: Eukaryota; Fungi; Neocallimastigomycota; Neocallimastigomycetes; Neocallimastigales.